CCAACAGUGACUUUCUACGCCUGCUUGCGCACGUAAGCGAAGCAUCGAAUCUGUCUGAAGAGAUGUCACUAAAGCUGGAUUCAUUUCAUACUUGAAUCAAUUUACCAUGCGUGUAACUGCAUGCCAUCAAAGCCCAGAAGUCGCAACGUUUCACGCCUCACGGUAGCCCACAUACAAUAGCUGAGCCCAUGCAGUAGAGGAAGACAAGAUCCGAGCGAUCCACAUGACUCGGCGCGUGAAAGUUGUGAACGACUCCUCUCAGCGUAUUCGGUGACAAUCCUGGACGCCCAGCAUGCGGCCUACUGUGGGAUACGAAACAAGCGAUCUGAGCCGGUGGCCGGGCGACCUCCCGCCUGGUUUGCCUCAACUUGCGACUGCCCUCUAGGCGGACUGUACGCCCAGCUGACCAGAUGGCGCGCUGCUCGCUGCAGAUGGCGCGCCACGACGACACUUGGCUGACAUGGGCAGCUCGCUGGUCAGCUGAGCCACAGCAAGAAUGCGCGGCAGUCGUCCCUCUUGUGUGAAGCUGGACCACUAUUUCCAGCCCGUGUGUGCAGCCAAAUAAUGCAAUGGUCCACUCAGCACAUGGUACGCUGUUCCCUCGCUGGUUCGGCUAUCAGUGGCCUUUCCGGUGAACUACGACAAAAUGGAUCCUGGCCGUUAUUGAGGCAUAUUCUGCUCACAGCCCCUUGAAACAUCAAGCCUUACGCAUCCAAUCCAGUUUGGCCGGAGGCUGGCCCGAACCUGUGGUUUUCAUCUCUACGGUCUGGUACGCCCAGGCGCGACACUGGUUGAAGAUAUCGAAACCGGAACA
Long non-coding RNA from Pollicipes pollicipes, 814 nucleotides. RefSeq lists it as uncharacterized. NCBI's taxonomy places the organism in Eukaryota, Metazoa, Arthropoda, Thecostraca, Pollicipedomorpha, Pollicipedidae. The transcript is spliced from 3 exons. The record is from RefSeq and is a predicted model, not a curated record.